CCUACGGGUGGCUGCAGUGGGGAAUAUUGGGCAAUGGGCGCAAGCCUGACCCAGCAACGCCGCGUGAAGGAAGAAGGCUUUCGGGUUGUAAACUUCUUUUCUCAGGGACGAAGCAAGUGACGGUACCUGAGGAAUAAGCCACGGCUAACUACGUGCCAGCAGCCGCGGUAAUACGUAGGUGGCAAGCGUUAUCCGGAUUUACUGGGUGUAAAGGGCGUGUAGGCGGGACUGCAAGUCAGAUGUGAAAACCACGGGCUCAACCUGUGGCCUGCAUUUGAAACUGUAGUUCUUGAGUACUGGAGAGGCAGACGGAAUUCCUAGUGUAGCGGUGAAAUGCGUAGAUAUUAGGAAGAACACCAGUGGCGAAGGCGGAUUACUGGACGAUAACUGACGGUGAGGCGCGAAAGCGUGGGGAGCAAACAGGAUUAGAUACCCGUGUAGUC
This 443-nucleotide ribosomal RNA is filed under the name uncultured bacterium. Its description in RNAcentral is "partial 16S ribosomal RNA". It matches the Rfam family "Bacterial small subunit ribosomal RNA", at positions 338 to 795 of the family's 1533-position model. The record is from RNAcentral.